RNAcentral lists this long non-coding RNA (830 nucleotides) under Homo sapiens (human). RNAcentral's name for it is "HSALNT0167257". Lineage: Eukaryota; Metazoa; Chordata; Mammalia; Primates; Hominidae. The record is from RNAcentral.
GUAAGUGGAGUUUCUGCAAUGGUAAUUAGGAGGGCCCUCAUUACCCUGGCGGAGCCGGCUGAGAGCCGAUAAAGCCGAGGGGGAGAAGGGCCGACAUCAGGGAUGAGGGUGUCGAGGAGGGUUCCAGGCCAGCGUGCCUGCCUCGCCUCCAGCCCGGGGAUGGGCCUCCAGCGCUUUCCAGGCUAACUCAGCGAGCCCAGUCUUCUUAGUCAACUGAGAGACAUGUCUACAGAACAGACCAUGUGGCCAACUCCUCCUCCUCCCCAUGCCCCAGGCAAGAGGACUCUGGGAAGACAUCCAGGAAGCAAGGAGUCUGUAGCCAGCUGCCUUCAGAAGCCCAAGGUCAUUGGCCCUGCCACUCUGGUUUGCCAACUCCUCAAGGACCACAUAGGCCCAACUGUUAUGGAAAGGGUGGACCAGAGAGAGGGGCUUCUUUUCCUUCGGCUUUGGGGAAGGCAAAGGCAAUUCCUGCCACUGCCCACUCCAGAGACGGCCGCAUCUUCCAGGUGACUAAAGCCCCCACCCCCACCCCCAGACUGGAGAGAAGAAAAGGAAUUGGAGGAGAAGGAAUGGGAUAAGGGUGGGGGUUUUCUGAGACCCACAUUCUCUCUGACAUGCCCACUGAGCCUCCCCACAGGAAAACAGGAUUAUGAAAGAAAUACUAGAAGUAUUCUCCAAGUUGGGUUGGGCUUCAGAAAGCCCUUUUGAUAUAAGCCAAAUACCUCAGAUGGCCAAGGGAGUGGCCUGGCCUCAGUCUCCUCAACUAAAUCACCAGUUCCAAGACAGCAGGGAAUAAUAAAGAUAAAAAUAAUAUAAUAACGACAGCUAAC